AGAUUGAACGCUGGCGGCAUGCCUAACACAUGCAAGUCGAACGGGAGUAGCAAUACUCUAGUGGCGGACGGGUGAGGAAUACGUAGGAAUUUGCCCUUAAGUGGGGGAUAACCUGGGGAAACCCGGAUUAAUACCGCAUGACCUCGAAAGAGCAAAGUGGGGGAUCGCAAGACCUCACGCUUUUGGAGAAGCCGUACGUCGGAUUAGCUAGUGGUGAGGUAAUGGCUCACCAAGGCGACGAUCCGUAACUGGUCUGGAGAGGAUGAUCAGUCACACCGGAACUGAGACACGGUCCGGACUCCGACGGGAGCAGCGAGGUGGGAAUAGUGGACAAGUCGGG
RNAcentral lists this ribosomal RNA (340 nucleotides) under uncultured soil bacterium. RNAcentral's name for it is "bacterial SSU rRNA". It matches the Rfam family "Bacterial small subunit ribosomal RNA", at positions 26 to 377 of the family's 1533-position model. The record is from RNAcentral.